RNAcentral lists this microRNA precursor (226 nucleotides) under Colletotrichum orbiculare MAFF 240422. RNAcentral describes it as "microRNA MIR821". Lineage: Eukaryota; Fungi; Ascomycota; Sordariomycetes; Glomerellales; Glomerellaceae. The record is from RNAcentral.
AUAAUCUAUUCAAACUAGAAUAAAGCGAUCGAAUGUAUAUAAAUAGAGCGGUUAAGUUUUAUAUAAUCCCUGUAUAACUACUUAGUAGACUCUAUGCUGUACCUAUUCUUAUAUAUGAGAAUAGGUAUAGCAUAGAGUCUACUAGGCAGUCAUGUAGGGAUUAUAUAAGGCCCAACCGCUCUAUUUAUACGCAUUCGAGCGCUUCAUUCUAGUUUGAAUAGAUUAU